This 444-nucleotide ribosomal RNA is filed under the name uncultured bacterium. RNAcentral's name for it is "SSU rRNA". It matches the Rfam family "Bacterial small subunit ribosomal RNA", at positions 26 to 518 of the family's 1533-position model. The record is from RNAcentral.
AGAGCGAACGCUGGCGGCAGGCUUAACACAUGCAAGUCGAACGGAUCCUUCGGGAUUAGUGGCGGACGGGUGAGUAACACGUGGGAACGUGCCUUUUGGUUCGGAACAACACAGGGAAACUUGUGCUAAUACCGAAUGUGCCCUUCGGGGGAAAGAUUUAUCGCCAUUAGAGCGGCCCGCGUCUGAUUAGCUAGUUGGUGAGGUAAAGGCUCACCAAGGCUACGAUCAGUAGCUGGUCUGAGAGGAUGAUCAGCCACAUUGGGACUGAGACACGGCCCAAACUCCUACGGGAGGCAGCAGUGGGGAAUCUUGCGCAAUGGGGGAAACCCUGACGCAGCCAUGCCGCGUGAAUGAUGAAGGUCUUAGGAUUGUAAAAUUCUUUCAGCGGGGACGAUAAUGACGGUACCCGCAGAAGAGCUCCGGCUAACUCGUGCCAGCAGCCGC